AUUGAACGCUGGCGGCAUGCCUUACACAUGCAAGUCGAACGGCAGCACGGGUGCUUGUACCUGUUGGCGAGUGGCGAACGGGUGAGUAAUAAAUCGGAACAUGUCCUGUUGUGGGGGAUAGCUCGGCGAAAGCCGGAUUAAUACCGCAUACGAUCCACGGAUGAAAGCGGGGGACCUUCGGUCCUCGCGCUUUAGGGUUGGCCGAUGGCUGAUUAGCUAGUUGGUGGGGUAAAGGCCUACCAAGGCGACGAUCAGUAGCUGGUCUGAGAGGACGACCAGCCACACUGGAACUGAGACACGGCCCAGACUCCUACGGGAGGCAGCAGUGGGGAAUUUUGGACAAUGGGCGAAAGCCUGAUCCAGCAAUGCCGCGUGUAUGAAGAAGGCCUUCGGGUUGUAAAGCACUUUUGGCCGGAAGGAAGUCCUUGACUCUAAUACAGUCGGGGAAUGACGGUACCGGAAGAAUAAGCACCGGCUAACUACGUG
This 486-nucleotide ribosomal RNA is filed under the name uncultured bacterium. RNAcentral's name for it is "partial 16S ribosomal RNA". It matches the Rfam family "Bacterial small subunit ribosomal RNA", at positions 30 to 507 of the family's 1533-position model. The record is from RNAcentral.